GUUCCCCAGGCACCAGGCUGGACCUUAGGCUAAAACAAGAAGACGAAGAAGAGCCAUUCACAAGGAGUGCUCUUCCACUUCCCAGAGGGAACAAAUGCCUGCAGCUUGUGGAUCAGAUGUGAGCUCCCAGGUACGGAUCCAGCAUCAUGCCUGCCUGCCACUGUGCUCCUCUCAUGAUGGCACCUUUUCUGGGCCCCGUGAAGAGGGUUUUAAAGCGCUGGAGUUGAAGACUCGGGUUUUCUGGACUCCUACAUCGCUUUGUUGGCUGGGCCCCUUGCUCUGCAGCAAAUGAAUAUCAACCUUUGCUCAGCCCAAUCUGACUUGGAAGAAAAACUUCCGUUCCUUUGUGGGAGUUUCCAUGACACCAAGAGAUUAUGGGCUCACGAGAGCUGCAUCUCUGUAUGGAGCUGCUUGCACACGAGAACCGAGUGGGCGGUUAACGACUUCUGUUGUACUAACACGCGGACAUAGUCGACAAGCCCUGUGGACACCUGGUCAGGUUCCCACGUGGCCUCCCUCAGGGAGACAUUGUGACAGCGCUUUGGCCCAGCUGGAUCUUGCUGGGGUUGGUCGGGAAGGAUCAGCCAAACAGAUCAGUUAGCAUUUUAGUCCCUGUGCUUUUAUUUUUGCUGAAAUCUCUUGAGCGAACAGUUGCAUCACUAAUUGCUAAAUAUGACAUUAUCAGACUGUGCUUCCUGGGGGUAAUCAGGGGGAGCACUUAAUUACAACUGCUUUUGUCUCUAACUAAUGGGAAAGAAUGUUACCAUCCAUGCCCCUGUGCCGCCAUUCCAGAGGAUUGAGCUAUAAUCUCUAGGUGUUAACCGAAGUAGAGGGAAUGACCCAACCUGUGGACAUCAUUGCUUUACCCGAAUUUACCCAGCAACUAACAAAAUAGGUCUCUUUUACUAAAGACUAAUUUUCACAUUAAAAAAAAGAACUUUAUUAUGGGCCUAGUGCAGUUAAAUUGCUGGGCACAGUGGGAAUCCUGCACUUAGGCUGGUAAUAUUACACAAUGAGAAAAUGGCUCAGGUGCGUACCCCGCUGCCUGGUAACUCAGACCCUGGAUAAUUCUCUUUCGAUGAAAUUCCACCAGGUGGCACAAAAUGUCUCAAAGUGCCUCUGAGCAUGCUUUCUGGUGAAUGGGGAGAAAAGGAUUGAGAAGAACAGCAGGGGCCUCACCCACUCUUUCUGAAUGCACACCUCCUUGCCCUCAAGCUGCUUUUACAAAGGCAAAAAGACACAUCCAUAGCAAUGUAUGCAUUCUAUAUGAAUAUCCUUUUGAAUAAUUUAUGAGACUAGGAGGAAGACACAUGGGGCAUUGUGGGAGGAGGGAAAAAAAGGAAGAGGCAGGGGACUCGCAAGGUUGCCAACAUGCCAAAUCCAAAUUCAUCAAUUUCGUUCAGCGGUCUUCAUGUAAAAAUGCUUCUGUGAAUUUAAAUGCAGAAUCUUUCACACAAAUUGUAAAUGUUCUGUCAUGCUGAGAAACUGUAGUGAUUCUAAAGAUUUGUAAAGUUUAACUGAAGUAAAAAUUAUCAAUAUUCAAAGACCAGGGGAAGUGUAAUGAAAUGAAGUAAAAUGCUUUAUUAUUCUAUAUUCUUACCACCCCUGAGAAUAGCCCAAUAUUCAACUAGCUCAGGGACCUGCGCUCAUUAGGUUUUUUGUCAACUUGACACAAGCUAGGGUCAUCUGGAAGUAGGGACCUCAACUGAGAACAUGCCUCCAACGGACAGGCCUGUGAGCAGGUCUGUGGGGGCAUUUUUUAAAAUUAAUAAUGAUAUGGGAGGACCAAGGCCAUUGUGGGAGUUGUCACCCCUGGGUGGGUGGUCCUGGGCUGCACAAAGAAGCAAAAUGAGCAAGACAUGGGGAGCAAGCCAGCAAACAUUAUUCCUCCAUGGUCUCUGCCUUGGUUCCUGCCUCCAUGUUCCUGCUGCAGUUCAAGUCCUGCCCUCCCUCAGUGAUGGAGUCUGACUGGAGAGUUUAUGGUGAAAUAAACCCUUUCCAGCCAACUUGCUUUGGGUCAUGAUGCCUUAUUACAGUGACAGAAACCUAAUUAGAAAGGACCGGAGGUCUGUUAGAAUGGGGUGUCUGUUAAAUAAGCAGGUAUAAAUUGUGAGAACACAAAGUCCAGGUCAGAGGUAGCCUCAGUGACCAGGGAGUCUGAGGCUGCUCAUACUAGUGUCUCAGCCCCAUAAACAGACUACAGAAGUCUCAUAAAGUAUCACACAUAUUCAGGUUGAAAACUUCCCUGAUGAUUUUAAUAUAUCUGUAAUUAAGAAAUGUCGAGCUAAGAAUUCAUUUCUUUUCACAUCAAAUAAGUGUCUAAUUAGGGUUUCUUUUGCCGCGAUAAAUACCGUGACAGAAAACAAGUUGGGGAGGAAAGGGUUCAUUUCAGCUUACACUCAGAUUCUACUCCAUGACUGAGGGAAAUCAGGGCAGGAACUUGGGCAGGAAUGGAAACAGAGGCCAUGGAAGAAUGCUACAUACUGGCUUGCCCUUCAUAGCUUGAUGGUUUGUAUUCUUAUGCACUCCAGGACCGCCUAGCCAGAGAUGGCACCACUCACAAGGGGCUGGACCCUCGUACGUUAGUCAUUGAUCAAGGAAGUGUCCCACCACCUUGCCUGUGGACCAGUCUGACGGAGGCACUUCCCAGCUGAGGUUGCUCUUGUCAGAUAACAGUUACUUGUGUCAAAUUGACAAACAACUGACUAGCACACUGUGGGUAGGUCCCAAGAGCUUCAUGCUAAUAGGCCCUUGACAAGCACAAGCAAAUCAAUGAUGUGAGCUGAUCUAGGAGGUGACCCUUGAAAUCCUUUUUAAUUUACUUUUUUUUGAGAAUUUCAUACACAUGUGUUUACACUAUUUUCACCCCUCCCUCUUCUGUGCCAAUGCCUCCUGUGUCUCCUAUACAUUAUUCUCUUCUCUCUCUCUCU
Molecule: long non-coding RNA, 2930 nt
Organism: Peromyscus californicus insignis
Lineage: Eukaryota; Metazoa; Chordata; Mammalia; Rodentia; Cricetidae
Exons: 3
Source: RefSeq, a predicted model, not a curated record